GCCGGGCAUGGUAGUGCAUGCCUGUAAUCCCAGCUACUUGGGAGGCUGAGGCAGGAGAAUCACUUGAACCCGGAAGACGGAGGUUACAGUGAGCCGAGAUCAUGCCACUGCACUCCAGCCUGGGUGACAGAGAGAGACUCUGCCUCAA
Molecule: non-coding RNA, 148 nt
Filed under: Homo sapiens (human)
Lineage: Eukaryota; Metazoa; Chordata; Mammalia; Primates; Hominidae
Source: Rfam by way of RNAcentral